AAAAUCCCAUCAGCCGUUGAGUCCCUGAUGGGGUUUAAGACGUGGCAAUAACACGCAGACCCAAGAAGAAGAAGAAGUAGAAGAAGAAGAAAUGGGGAGAUUUCAAGAAGCGACAUCAGUAUUGGUAAGCGUGAUUCUAAGGAAAAGCAUCAGCAUGUUUUACGAAGUUGCCUUCCCAUUUGUAGACUUGCUAUGGAUUCUAACCUCGGCUGUUGAGUAUUCAAGAUUUAACAGAAACAGUCGCCACCAAUCGCCGCCGGCUUUCACCGUCACCUACUCUCGUAGCUAUCCCAUCACUCCUACACAUGAUCGGUAGUUCCUCUGCUUUGUGGUGUUAAUUUCUCUCUUUUUAUUUAGUUUUUUGGGUUUUAUUUUUAUACAUACACUGUUUCUUCUUCUCUAUGAUGCUGCUGUAAUCUAAAUAAAAAUAUUUCGUAAUACUUUAAUUAAAUUUAUUUAUUUUUAAAAGUUAUAAUUUUCUUUAUUAAUUUUUUUUUAAUUUAGAAGUCCUAAUUACAUAAUAAUUGAUUUAUAAAACGGAUAAUGCUAUGAAAUUAAUGGUAUUCUCUGGGUUGACAGUGGAGCAAUCAAUUAUAAAAUUUCAUUUGGUAAAACCCUAAUUUGGGAAUCCAUUUUCUGGGUUGUGAAUGGAAAGAUAACACAAUAUAGGAUUAGUGAUAUAUUUGCGCUGUUGGGUAAUAAUUUUCAAAAUAAUAAUCCAUCAAAAUAUUAAUAUUUAAAGAUUAAAAAAAAUUAAAAAAAAUUAUUUUUUACAAUAAUUAAUCAAUUAUUAUGAAAAUAAUUAUUAAUUAUUAAAAUAACUAAUAUUAUCAUAGAAAGGUACAUGGUAGCAUGGAUCACACAAUGUUCUUCUCCCGUUUCUUUUCAAUACAAUGCGAUGACUUUAUAGUUUGCUUUCAUCAGCAUUUUUAAAAUAUUUCAUUUAUAUUUUACUGAUAUUUGAAUUUUUCUAAAAUUAAAGUGAAAAAAAUAUGAUAGUGUAAUAGUGGAUUUUAGCUAUUUUAUUAGCAAAAGAAAACUCAAAUAUUAAAUUAUUUUUUAUUAAAAAAAAUAAAUUGUCAUUUUAGCUAAACUUUAGGGUCUAUAUUGUAUCAUUAAUUUUCAUUCUAAUGACUAAAUUUAUAAUUUUAGUAUAGAGUUAGCUUAAAUUUUAAAUUUAAAUUUGUUGUCUGACUAGCUUAUAUUGUUUUUCUUGUUUUACUUGAGUUUAAGCUUUAUUUUGGUAGAAGCCAUGCAUAAGCAGAAAGCCAGGCUUGCAUAUAUAUAUAUAUAUAUAUAUAUAUAUAUUAAUUGAUGUAUAAUUAUUUUGAAAUAAUUAUAUUAAUAUAUUAACAUAUAGAUGCAUAAUUGUCUCAUUUUAGAUUGGAUAAUUUACAAUAUAAUAUUUGAAAUUUAAUAAAAUUUAUAAUUUUAUUUUUAUUUUUUUAAUAUUAAAUAAUUUAAUUUUAAAUUUUUAUUUGUUAAUAAAAUAGCCUUCUGAUGAUAAAUUUAACGUUAAUGGAAAGAUUCAAUUUAAAUUAAAGUGAUUAAAUUAUUAAUAAAUAUAAUUAUUAUAAAAAGUGAAAUUUAAAAGAUUGAAUUAUUUUGUUAAUAAAAUAAAGUUUUAAACUCUUUAACAAUUUGGAAAUGAUUUUAGAAGAUUUGAACACAUCAGAGUCGGUCUCCUAAUAGAAAUUCUACCCUCAACGAGUCUUUGAAUUCAAGGAUAAAUAUCCUCUGGUCUUGAUAAAACUAUUAAUCUCUUAUCUUCUUGAAAAACAAGACAAAUUCUAAACAUAAUAGUUAUUCAAAGUCUCUAUUUAUUUUGUAAUAAGUACCCACUUGAAGAAUUUUAAUAUUAUAUAUUUUUAUAAGUUAUUUCCUUAGAGAAUACUUUCCAUAAGCAAAUGCAGCAUAGUCUUAUAAUAUUCAAGUAAUGUCAAGUUGUGAACCAUAGUUGAUGUAUUAUUUCAACUGUAGUUUUGAUAAUUUAUUUUGUCGUUAUUAUUAUUAUUAUUUUGGAUAACUUAUGCUAAGAGCUGUUUGGCUUUAAAUUUGCAGAUCAGAUAAAAAACACUAUUUUAAAUGUUAUUGAAAAAAGCUUUUUUGUUAUUUUAGUAUUUUUAUAAUUAAAUUAUGUUUAAAAUAAUUUAGUAUCUAAAUUAUUAUUUAAAUACUACUUUUAACUAAAUUAUGUUAAAAAUAAUUUAGUCAUUUUAGUAUUCUUAUAACUAAAUUAUUGUCUAAUUUAGUGUCUAAAUUAUUUUAAUAUUGUCUAAAUAAUUCUCUUAAGAAAGUAUCUUUCUCGACAACAGCUAAUGUCAAAUAGAUCCUUAGAUUUUCAAGAUUCAGCAAAAUCUACAAAUUAGUCCAAUGUUUAUUUUAAAUAACAAUUGAGUUUUCUAGUAAAAGGAAAAAAAAAAAAAAAAACCAAUUUGCUGUUUGAUAAAAAUGGCCUAAAUAGCCCUUGAAAUGCCUCUCUUAUCUAUCUACUACAACAUCCCACCUCUUUCUCUCUCGUCAUCUCUAUCCAUUCUCAUCAUCCUCCACUGACAACAUCAUCAAUAGAGAAAUAACCUAAUAAAGGACAAAUGGAGCCACCAAAAGUGUAGGCGUCCAUUAUAGAAAUAAAGGGUGUUUAUAUUUUCGAUAAAAAUUUGUAGAAGGUGGUUGUCCUUGUUCUAGUUUAUGUGUUUGUGCCUAUAAUGGAUUGAGAGGGAAAAAAAAAAAAAACCAAGGGCGAGAGUAUUUGUAAUAAUUAAUCAAACCCAACCAGAUGUUUUAGUUGAAUUUGAUUUGAUUCUUUUAAUAAAAUUAGAUUGAUUUGAUUUCAUAUUUUACUAGAUUCAAUUCGAAUUUAUUGGACCAUUUCACAAACAAAAUAUCAUUGGCGUGGCCUAGAAUUCUCCUUUGGAACAGAUGUCUUGUGCAUGGAUGCAUACAUAAUAUUUGGGGCCAAAGAAAGAUAGGAACAGCAACAGCAAGAGCAACUCCCAAGAUUGCCAGGGAUUAUUAAUCCACAAGAGACAAAGAUGAUAGCAAAUUGUCUAAAAGUUCAAAACCAUUAACGCCCACAGAAGAGUUUGAGCAAGAGACAACGAGCUGUUGACUCAUGGCUUUAUUAGGGCACUACCAACUCCUUAAAAGAUAAACCUACUAAUAUAUUUUCAUAAUUUUUUACUCAUAACAGACAUGACACCUUACAUAAUUUUGUAUUUUUAUCGACUUGAGAACGAUAAAUAGACAUCUUUAUCUACAUACAAUUUGGAGGUUUCACAUCUUUGACAUUGUGUAAUCCAUAGCAUCCACAAAGAAAUCUGCAACCACAGGAAUUCACCAAGUGUUACUAGUGCAGCCUAGUUGAAAAUUCUAUGAUGCUUAGUACAAGAGGAAAACAAAAUUACAAAUGUACCUGCGUCUUCUUUUGUGAAACACAGGGGAGGGGUGAUUCUGAAAACAUUCCCAUAGAAUCCACCUUUUCCGACCAAGACUCCAAUAUCUGUGACAAAAUUCAGGGGUCUAUUAAAAACUAGAAGAUACCAUUGAGUAUAGCAUUUAGGUAGACCAUAGGCUGGUGAAAUACAAACCUUUCAUUUCGUCCAUUACAUGUAAAGUUUCAGCCUUUGCAGGAGUUUUCUCUUGGCGAUCAGUUACCAGCUCAACUCCAAGCAUCAAUCCUCUUCCCCUCACAUCACCAAUAACUGCAGAAAUCCAGUUAUAACACGAUCAGCAUAUACAAACCUUUAGGUCACUUUAAAAAAAAAACAAGUAAAAAACGUGGAGAUAUAAACCAAAAAGAAAAUAAUACUUAAUAGCUGAGGUUGAUAUCAUUGCAAGAAGUAAUUUCAAAUAUUGCUACCCAUUUCACAAUGCUAUAUGCAGGGAUUCAAAUUUAUUUUGAUUUUUGUUAUGAAUGCAGAGUAAAAUAAGCUGAUUUAUGAUGUAUAAAUAAGUCCAAUACAUAGAGUCAGGGAUAUGGAAGGUCUAUUUACUUUCAUAUUUUUCUCUGAGUUCAAUUAGUCUCUGUUUCAGAUAGGACCCCACAACCAACGCAUUCUCCUGAAGCUUUUCUUUCUCAAUCACUUUUAGAACAGCCAGCCCUGCAGCAGUACAUACAGGAUUCCCCCCAAAUGUGUUGAAGUAACUUCGACGAGUCAAUACUUCAGCAAUCUCAGGAGUUGUCACCACAGCACC
Molecule: long non-coding RNA, 4194 nt
Filed under: Manihot esculenta (cassava)
Lineage: Eukaryota; Viridiplantae; Streptophyta; Magnoliopsida; Malpighiales; Euphorbiaceae
Description: long non-coding RNA (MESC_LNC005636)
Source: RNAcentral